GGGGAAUAUUGCACAAUGGGCGAAAGCCUGAUGCAGCGACGCCGCGUGAGGGAUGACGGCCUUCGGGUUGUAAACCUCUUUCAGCAGGGAAGAAGCGAAAGUGACGGUACCUGCAGAAGAAGCACCGGCUAACUACGUGCCAGCAGCCGCGGUAAUACGUAGGGUGCGAGCGUUGUCCGGAAUUAUUGGGCGUAAAGAGCUCGUAGGCGGUUUGUCGCGUCGAUUGUGAAAGCCCGGGGCUUAACCCUGGGUCUGCAGUCGAUACGGGCAGGCUAGAGUUCGGCAGGGGAGACUGGAAUUCCUGGUGUAGCGGUGAAAUGCGCAGAUAUCAGGAGGAACACCGGUGGCGAAGGCGGGUCUCUGGGCCGAUACUGACGCUGAGGAGCGAAAGCGUGGGGAGCGAAC
Molecule: ribosomal RNA, 405 nt
Filed under: uncultured bacterium
Lineage: Bacteria
Description: bacterial SSU rRNA
Rfam family: Bacterial small subunit ribosomal RNA
Source: RNAcentral